UACGGAGGAUCCAAGCGUUGUCCGGAUUUAUUGGGUUUAAAGGGUGCGUAGGCGGAUCUUUAAGUCAGUGGUGAAAGCCUGCAGCUCAACUGUAGAACAGCCAUUGAAACUGAAGAUCUUGAAUUAAGUUAAAGUAGGCGGAAUGUAUCAUGUAGCGGUGAAAUGCUUAGAUAUGAUACAGAACACCGAUAGCGAAGGCAGCUUGCUGAACUUACAUUGACGCUGAGGCACGAAAGCGUGGGGAGCGAACAGG
This 253-nucleotide ribosomal RNA is filed under the name uncultured bacterium. RNAcentral's name for it is "partial 16S ribosomal RNA". It matches the Rfam family "Bacterial small subunit ribosomal RNA", at positions 524 to 776 of the family's 1533-position model. The record is from RNAcentral.